CGCGGGAAUUCGAUUCGACAACAGAGUUUGAUCCUGGCUCAGCCGAAUUCGUCGACAACAGAGUUUGAUCCUGGCUCAGAUUGAACGCUGGCGGCAGGCCUAACACAUGCAAGUCGAGCGGAUGAUGGGAGCUUGCUCCCGGAUUCAGCGGCGGACGGGUGAGUAAUGCCUAGGAAUCUGCCUGGUAGUGGGGGACAACGUUUCGAAAGGAACGCUAAUACCGCAUACGUCCUACGGGAGGAAGCAGGGGACCUUCGGGCCUUGCGCUAUCAGAUGAGCCUAGGUCGGAUUAGCUAGUUGGUGGGGUAAAGGCCUACCAAGGCGACGAUCCGUAACUGGUCUGAGAGGAUGAUCAGUCACACUGGAACUGAGACACGGUCCAGACUCCUACGGGAGGCAGCAGUGGGGAAUAUUGGACAAUGGGCGAAAGCCUGAUCCAGCCAUGCCGCGUGUGUGAAGAAGGUCUUCGGAUUGUAAAGCACUUUAAGUUGGGAGGAAGGGCAGUAAGUUAAUACCUUGCUGUNUUGACGUUACCAACAGAAUAAGCACCGGCUAACUUCGUGCCAGCAGCCGCGGUAAUACGAAGG
RNAcentral lists this ribosomal RNA (587 nucleotides) under uncultured bacterium. Its description in RNAcentral is "bacterial SSU rRNA". It matches the Rfam family "Bacterial small subunit ribosomal RNA", at positions 1 to 531 of the family's 1533-position model. The record is from RNAcentral.